AAUUCUCAAUUAUUCUUCGCAUCAUUAUCGAUGCAGGAUGGCCUAACCGUUCAUGCCAAACAACAAAGUUAUUGUGAUUCGUUAGCUUUUUAUUAACAACCACAUUUGUUUCAAUUGUUCUAAUUCUCGUGUAGUACAAACCAGAGGAAAAAGCUGGUAAUUUUUCUAAUACUCUUUUAUUACCCGAGAUUAUACUCGUAAUGUGAAGAUACUCAAUCUUUCCUUCACAUGUUGUCUCAAUAUGAUACCCAUUUCGGCGGAUAUCCUUAAAACUCAAUAAAUUUCUUUGAGACCUGGGAGAGUAUAAUGCUUCAUCAAUUUCAA
RNAcentral lists this long non-coding RNA (324 nucleotides) under Panax ginseng (ginseng). RNAcentral describes it as "long non-coding RNA (PGIN_LNC017698)". Lineage: Eukaryota; Viridiplantae; Streptophyta; Magnoliopsida; Apiales; Araliaceae. The record is from RNAcentral.